UGACAUUCAUUUUCACGCUGAAACUCAGCAUGAAGGGGGAAGGAACUCUCUCACAAACAUAAACCUAGGUUGUUCUUCAAACAAAGAUAACUUUUGAUUCGGAGCUCCGAUUGACAAGCCGUUUGCGGCCACGCGUUCGUCCUGGAGACCUCUUCAAUUCUAUCUAAACAAAAAGGUGCAAUCUAACAUUGGAUAAUUGUUGGAUUAUACUCCGAUCAUCAAUGGGUAAGAUUGUAAUUAUGUUAGAUUGAAGUUUGAAUUGGUGAAUUGGAGCUUUUGGAACAACUUUGGUGGCUGGAUUCUUGGAAGUGGGACUUGUGAGCUUGCAUUGUGGGAUUGUCUCGGGUUAUACGCGGAAAUUGGCCAAGAUGCAAGUCGAGAAGCACCUCGCUAGGCGUCUGGAUCCCUGAAGCGGAAUAGUCCCUGGUUUAUUUUGGGUUUUCAGUUUGUAAAUAUAUGUACAUAUGUAUUUAGCUUUCUCUCCAAGAAACUUGAUUAUUUUGUUCCUCAUAGAGGUUGAAGGAGUGUUAAGGCCUUAUUUCUGUAUUUUGAGUAUUCUGGGAUACUUGUAUAUAUAUAUAUAUGUAAACAUUCUCUGGCCAGCCUUGGCUUCGCAGGCUAAGUCAGGAGCUAGUUA
Arachis ipaensis is the source of this 637-nucleotide long non-coding RNA. RefSeq lists it as uncharacterized. NCBI's taxonomy places the organism in Eukaryota, Viridiplantae, Streptophyta, Magnoliopsida, Fabales, Fabaceae. The record is from RefSeq and is a predicted model, not a curated record.